CGCGCAAGGCUUAGUGUGUGCCGAGCGCCGAGCAGAGUGUGCACGAAGGCCGAUCCAGCAGGAGCUCUCGGCAGGGGCGCUCGGUGCGGCUGGCGCGCGGCCUACGUUGUAAAUUGUUGUACAUUUUAACGUGUUUGUAUUUCGUGUAUCAGUAUUUAUUAUGUACGUUAUACGUGUUUAAAUAAAACAUAAGCAGUUCAUAACAGUUGGAGUGAUGUGUGAUUUCUUGUGCCCCGUACUUUGCUCGUUUACGUUUUGUGUCGUGGUCCUUCUUCUUCAAUUAUGGAAUGAUUUAUCUUUGUAAAUUUCUAAGUUACAGUGCACGCGCAUGUUAAUCGACGGUUGCCAACAUCCCGCAAAACGAUCGACGGAAGGAAAACGGUGUCCGGUUUUAAAAUAUCAAGUCAGUCCGUGACGUCAUUUCCAGACAGGCGCCGGCUGAACACGCGCAGCACCAGUCGAGGAUAUCCUAGCGCAGAGGGUAGAAGGAAGAACGAGAGGAAGGGUAACAGAAAGCAACCGCAGCAUUUGGAAGGGGUGAAGCAUCCUUCCGUAUACAGAGUGUGAGUGUGCCAAAACGCACGUGGAAAGAGUAACAUGAAUAAAUAGCAUGCGAAAGUGUGCAUAAAGCAAAAAGAAAAAACGUCACUACUACAACCAGCAAUCCGAAAA
This is a long non-coding RNA of Anopheles arabiensis, 672 nucleotides long. RefSeq lists it as uncharacterized. Lineage: Eukaryota; Metazoa; Arthropoda; Insecta; Diptera; Culicidae. The transcript is spliced from 3 exons. The record is from RefSeq and is a predicted model, not a curated record.